This 356-nucleotide ribosomal RNA is filed under the name uncultured bacterium. RNAcentral describes it as "bacterial SSU rRNA". It matches the Rfam family "Bacterial small subunit ribosomal RNA", at positions 29 to 412 of the family's 1533-position model. The record is from RNAcentral.
AACGAACGCUGGCGGCAUGCUUAACACAUGCAAGUCGAACGCCCCGCAAGGGGAGUGGCAGACGGGUGAGGAACACGUGGGAAUAUUCCUUUCAGUACGGGACAACUCAGGGGAAACUUGAGCUAAUACCGCAUACGCCCUACGGGGGAAAGAUUUAUCGCUGAAAGAUUAGCCCGCGUCUGAUUAGCUAGUUGGGUGAGGUAAUGGCUCACCAAGGCGACGAUCAGUAGCUGGUCUGAGAGGAUGAUCAGCCACAUUGGGACUGAGACACGGCCCAAACUCCUACGGGAGGCAGCAGUGGGGAAUAUUGGACAAUGGGCGCAAGCCUGAUCCAGCCAUGCCGCGUGAGUGAUGAA